GGUUAAGUUAGGAAGGGCGCAUGGUGGAUGCCUUGGUACUAGGAGCCGAUGAAGGACGGGACUAACACCGAUAUGCCUCGGGGAGCUGUAAGUAAGCUUUGAUCCGGGGAUUUCCGAAUGGGGCAACCCAAUAGUUUUAAUCGACUAUUAUCCGCAUCUGAAUUCAUAGGAUGUGUGAAGGUAAACGUGGGGAACUGAAACAUCUCAGUACCCACAGGAACAGAAAGAAAAUUNUGAGAAGGCAGACCCGGGGAACUGAAACAUCUAAGUACCCGGAGGAAGAGAAAGCAAAUGCGAUUCCCUGAGUAGCGGCGAGCGAAACGGGAACAGCCCAAACCAAGAAGCUUGCUUCUUGGGGUUGUAGGACUGAACAUUUGAGUUACCAAAGAGCUUGAUAGCUGAAGGGCCUGGGAAGGCCAGCCAGAGAGGGUGACAGCCCCGUAAGUUAAAUCAAACUCCCUCAGUUCAGGAUCCUGAGUACGGCGGAGNGAAGAGGUCUGGAAAGGCCCGCCAUAGGAGGUAACAGCCCUGUAGUCAAAACUUCGUUCUCUCCUGAGUGGAUCCUGAGUACGGCGGAACACGUGAAAUUCCGUCGGAAUCCGGGAGGACCAUCUCCCAAGGCUAAAUACUCCCUAGUGACCGAUAGUGAACCAGUACCGUGAGGGAAAGGUGAAAAGCACCCCGGAAGGGGAGUGAAAUAGUUCUUGAAACCAUGUGCCUACAAGAAGUCAGAGCCCGUUAAUGGGUGAUGGCGUGCCUUUUGUAGAA
RNAcentral lists this ribosomal RNA (768 nucleotides) under Bacillus velezensis. RNAcentral's name for it is "partial 23S ribosomal RNA". It matches the Rfam family "Bacterial large subunit ribosomal RNA", at positions 1 to 615 of the family's 2925-position model. The record is from RNAcentral. Lineage: Bacteria; Bacillati; Bacillota; Bacilli; Caryophanales; Bacillaceae.